CCUCAAGUGGCCCCAAAGUUGGGCUCCCAUUAGGGUGGGUAGGACAGUAUCUAGAGACAUUGAAGUGAUAAUAAUAACUGAUUUGUGGCCUUAUCAACAGCCCCGGGCUGCAGUGAGAAGCAGGAGCAGCUUUCAGCCACCAGUAGUGGGAAGCUGAGGAGCUGGAACUGAGGAAGCAGAGCUGGAGCAGACAGAAACAUGGUGAUUUCCAGGAGCAAACAAAAGGCGAUAGUCAAGGUGCUAGUGAACUGGUGUUAAAAGACAAAUUCUUCAUUGUCAAUCCAGCUACCAUCCUUGUUCAGUUAAACUCUGCAACAGAUCUCCCACAAAGUUGUGUCCUGCUGUUGCUGCUUCUGAAGGAUCAUGGAAUCACAGAAUGGUUUGACUUGGAAGUGACUUUAAAGCUCAUCUCAUUCCACCCUUGCCAUGAGCAGGGUCACCUUCACUAAACCAGGUUGCUUCGCCCUGGCCUUGAACACUUCCAGGGAUGGAGCACUUCCACGAUGGCUGUUUGACUUCCUUUGCAAUGGCAAAUGCUUUUGCUGGGGUUCCUCUGCUGAAAUCACACCCUGACCAAAUGCAACACCAACAAAAAUCUGGACUUGUGCCAGACUGCCAUCAUCAGAGCUCAGCCAGCAAACAGUGCUCAGCAAAAGGGAAGGAGUUUUCCACAUCCCAUAUGCAACAUUUCCCUGAUCUGUCCCUUUCCAAAUUGCAAGCUGCACAACUGUGAGCUGGCAUCAAGACUCUGAGGUAAGCACAAACUGCCUGAACCGAGCCCUCCCUGUGGGGCCGCAACCCCAGAGCCCCUGGACAUGGAGCAUAGCUGCAACACCAUGGCUGUGGAUUUCCCUGAAAGGAUGAAGCAGCACGGUGGAAGUCCCGGGGCACUGUCUGAGGAAUUGCCCUCCCUGUGCCGUGCUCUCACCUGGGGACAGCAAGAAUUGUACAGCCCUGUCCCAGAGCUCUAUGCCCAGCCUGCCUGAGCAGUGAGCAAAAUGGGAUCAGUUUAAUUAUAAUUUGAUAUUCCAGCCUUAAACUUUCUGUAAACCAGUGGCUGCUGGACAGGUGAGCUGGACUCCUGUGCCUAAUGUAGAUUGAUAGCAGAUCAGCUUUUCUGUCUCAAUUUGCUUAUGACCUAGAGAAUUAGCAGAGAGGAUCUGUUAUCCUGCCAGUGCACUAAUGGCUUUGGCAAGAGAAGAGCUCCCGA
This 1210-nucleotide long non-coding RNA is filed under the name Cyanistes caeruleus (blue tit). RNAcentral describes it as "lncRNA (ENSCCEG00000007319.1)". Lineage: Eukaryota; Metazoa; Chordata; Aves; Passeriformes; Paridae. The record is from RNAcentral.